This 251-nucleotide ribosomal RNA is filed under the name uncultured prokaryote. RNAcentral's name for it is "partial 16S ribosomal RNA". It matches the Rfam family "Bacterial small subunit ribosomal RNA", at positions 524 to 774 of the family's 1533-position model. The record is from RNAcentral.
UACGGAGGAUGCAAGCGUUAUUCGGAUUUAUUGGGUUUAAAGGGUGCGCAGGUUGUUUGAUAAGUCAGUGGUGAAAGUCUGUCGCUUAACGGUAGGAUUGCCAUUGAUACUGUUGGACUUGAAUAUGGAUGAGGUAGGCGGGAUGUGUAGUGUAGCGGUGAAAUGCAUAGAUAUUACACAGAACACCGAUUGCGAAGGCAGCUUACUAAUCCAUCAUUGACGCUGAGGCACGAAAGCGUGGGGAUCAAACA